RNAcentral lists this ribosomal RNA (407 nucleotides) under uncultured bacterium. RNAcentral's name for it is "partial 16S ribosomal RNA". It matches the Rfam family "Bacterial small subunit ribosomal RNA", at positions 28 to 526 of the family's 1533-position model. The record is from RNAcentral.
GACGAACGCUGGCGGUGUGCCUAAUACAUGCAAGUAGAACGCAGUUUCGAACGGGUGAGUAACACGUAGGUAAAUGCCUCAUAGCGGGGGAAAACUAUUUGAAACGGUAGCUAAAACCGCAUACUGUGAGAUGGACCUGCGUUGUAUUUGCUAGUUGGUGGGGGAAAGGCGCACCAAGGCGCCUAUACAUAGCCGACCUGGGAGGGGGAACGGCCAAACUGGGACUGGGACAAGGCCCAGAACCCCACCGGAGGGAGGAGUAGGGAAACUUCGGAAAAGGAGGGAAGUCUGACCGAGCAAAGCCGCGGGAGUGAAGAAGGUUUUCGGAGCGUAAAACUCCGUUGUUAGAGAAGCGGUAACUAAACAGAAAGGGACGGCUAACUACGUGCCAGCAGCCGCGGUAAUAC